RNAcentral lists this transfer RNA (65 nucleotides) under Dipodomys ordii (Ord's kangaroo rat). It matches the Rfam family "tRNA". Rfam says of the family: Transfer RNA (tRNA) molecules are approximately 80 nucleotides in length. Their secondary structure includes four short double-helical elements and three loops (D, anti-codon, and T loops). Lineage: Eukaryota; Metazoa; Chordata; Mammalia; Rodentia; Heteromyidae. The record is from Rfam by way of RNAcentral.
GGUGGCUCAGUGGUAGAGUGCUUGCCUCGCAUGCAUGAGGUGCUAGGUUCAAUUCCUUGGCACCA